RNAcentral lists this transfer RNA (74 nucleotides) under Vulcanimicrobiota bacterium. RNAcentral describes it as "tRNA-Arg". It matches the Rfam family "tRNA". From Rfam's summary of the family: Transfer RNA (tRNA) molecules are approximately 80 nucleotides in length. Their secondary structure includes four short double-helical elements and three loops (D, anti-codon, and T loops). Lineage: Bacteria; Bacillati; Vulcanimicrobiota. The record is from RNAcentral.
GCGCCUGUAGCUCAAUCGGAUAGAGCGUCGGGCUUCGAACCCGAAGGCUGGGGGUUCGAGCCCCUCCAGGCGCG